GAUCAUGGCUCAGGAUGAACGCUAGCUACAGGCUUAACACAUGCAAGUCGCGGGGCAUCAUGGUCCUAGCUCGCUAGGGCUGAUGGCGACCGGCGCACGGGUGCGUAACGCGUAUCCAACCUGCCCCACAGCGGGGAAUAGCCCGGCGAAAGUCGGAUUAAUGCCCCAUGUUCUCCACGGCGGGCAUCUAAGGUGGAGCAAAGGCCUUUCGGCCGCUAUGGGAUGGGGAUGCGUAGGAUUAGGCAGGCGGCGGGGUAACGGCCCACCGCGCCGACGAUCCUUAGGGGUUCUGAGAGGAAGGUCCCCCACACUGGUACUGAGACACGGACCAGACUCCUACGGGAGGCAGCAGUGAGGAAUAUUGGUCAAUGGGCGAUAGCCUGAACCAGCCAAGUAGCGUGCAGGACGGCGGCCCUAUGGGUUGUAAACUGCUUUUAUGCGGGGAUAAAGUGCGCCACGCGUGGCGUUUUGCAGGUACCGCAUGAAUAAGGACCGGCUAAUUCCGUGCCAGCAGCCGC
Molecule: ribosomal RNA, 518 nt
Filed under: uncultured bacterium
Lineage: Bacteria
Description: bacterial SSU rRNA
Rfam family: Bacterial small subunit ribosomal RNA
Source: RNAcentral